This 1638-nucleotide unclassified non-coding RNA is filed under the name Hevea brasiliensis (rubber tree). Lineage: Eukaryota; Viridiplantae; Streptophyta; Magnoliopsida; Malpighiales; Euphorbiaceae. The record is from RNAcentral.
CUACUGAGGAUUCCUCUAUCUAGCCGAGUACAGUUCGACGGUUUUUAUCCUAUUUUAGAUAUUUAAUUCAAAUUCCGAUGCGCAAUUAGGGUUAGCCAUUGUUCGAUUUCAGGGCUCUUUUUCUUUUCUUGUUUUUGAUAGGUUUUUUGAAAGCUAGGCCAGACAAUCAAUCAAUGGAUUAUGAUUAUGGGCAACAGCGGAUGCAAUUUGGAGACAAAAUAUUAGCUUAUAAUGGCGAAGAAGAAGACUAUUAUUAUGACAAUACUCAACAAAAACAGCAAAUGGGCGGUGCAGGCAACGCUAGAAAGCAAUCCCUAAGUCAUCACAAUCGCGACUCUUCUUCUUCCUUCCCUGGAAAACUCUUUGUUGGUGGCGUCUCAUGGGAAACUACUGAAGAGACAUUCAUGGAUUACUUCAGCAAGUAUGGAGAAAUCACCGACUCUGUAAUCAUGAUGGAUAGACAUUCUGGAAGGCCAAGAGGAUUUGGAUUUGUAACAUUUGCUGACCCAGUAGUUGCUAAUAGGGUUUUGGAGGAAGACCACGUUAUAGAUGGCAGAGCAGUUGAAGUGAAGAGGACAGUUCCAAGGGAGGAUAUGGACGUUAAAGGGGUUAUAAGAGCCAAGAAAAUAUUUGUUGGUGGAAUACCACCUGCUCUAACUGAAGAUGAGUUAAAGGAGUACUUUUCUGUUUAUGGAAACAUUGUUGAGCACCAGAUUAUGCUGGAUCAUAAAACUGGGCGGUCUAGGGGCUUUGGUUUUGUCACUUUUGACAGUGAAGAUUCUGUUGAACAGAUCUUCUCAGAGGGCGGGGCACAUGAACUUGGAGGUAAACAGGUGGAAAUAAAGAAGGCUGUACCAAAAAGAAAUGGUGGCGAUUAUGGCUCUGCUGCAAAGCCUCAUUCUGGAUUCAGCAAUGGUGCUGGCCAUGGUUUGGGAGACCUGUAUGGUGGGAAAAUCGGCGGAGGGUAUGGCAUGUAUAAUGGAUAUGGUGGCUACAAUGGUUAUGGAGCUUACGGGGCCUAUGGAAGCAGCAAUGGUUUUUAUGGUGGAUAUGGUUAUGGGUUUGGUUUUGGUGGGCCCAUGAUGUUUGGUAGCAGUGGAUAUGGAGGCAGUGGUUACGGUGCCCCUAGUGGCUAUGGCACCACUGCUGGAUAUGGUGGUGGUAAAGUCUAUGGAAGAAGCAGUGAUACUGGUAGUUUUGGCACUGGUAAGGGAUAUGGAAAUGGAACUGGUGGUGCCUUACAUGGUGGUCAUGGCAGUAGCAAGGGGUACGGGGGCAGUGAGAAUGGUGGUAGUGCUGUUACAGCGAGGUACCAUCCUUACCACAAGUGAAGGGAAUUUUUUAACUUGGCAUCAAAUUCCCAGCCUGUUGUUUGAUAUGAAAGAUUUUCUUUGCAUGCCAAGUCAAGAGUAGGUUGUUUCCAUAGAGUUGCUGCAUAUUCAGUUAUUGCCGAGCUCCAUAUCUAAUUGUGUGAGGUUGUGACUCGGUGAUAGAAUGGAUUUUGUAAUGUGAAAAAGAAAAAUUACAGUAUAGUUUUGAAUUUUGCAGUGCUUGUACUUAGGAUAAUUGGUUUCUUUUAUGGAGUGGGAAAUUGAGAUUUAGAGAAGGAACAACCAAACAAAAGGGUCUCAUGUUUAA